This 440-nucleotide ribosomal RNA is filed under the name uncultured bacterium. RNAcentral describes it as "partial 16S ribosomal RNA". It matches the Rfam family "Bacterial small subunit ribosomal RNA", at positions 339 to 795 of the family's 1533-position model. The record is from RNAcentral.
CUACGGGCCGCAGCAGCAGGGAAUAUUGCACAAUGGACGGAAGUCUGAUGCAGCGACGCCGCGUGGAUGAUGAAGGCCUUCGGGUUGUAAAAUCCUUUUCAGGGAGAAGAGGAAGGACGGUAUCCCUGGAAUAAGCGUCGGCUAACUACGUGCCAGCAGCCGCGGUAAUACGUAGGACGCAAGCGUUAUCCGGAUUUACUGGGCGUAAAGCGUCUGUAGGCGGUUUAGUAAGUUUGAUGUGAAAGCUCCAGGCUCAACUUGGAGAGUGCAUUGAAUACUGCUAGACUUGAGGGGAUCAGAGGAAAGCGGAAUUUCCGGUGUAGCGGUAAAAUGCGCAGAUAUUGGAAAGAACACCAGUGGCGAAGGCGGCUUUCUGGGAUCAACCUGACGCUGAGAGACGAAAGCUAGGGUAGCGAACAGGAUUAGAUACCCGCGUAGUC